RNAcentral lists this ribosomal RNA (468 nucleotides) under uncultured bacterium. RNAcentral describes it as "partial 16S ribosomal RNA". It matches the Rfam family "Bacterial small subunit ribosomal RNA", at positions 28 to 507 of the family's 1533-position model. The record is from RNAcentral.
GACGAACGCUGGCGGCGUGCUUAACACAUGCAAGUCGAACGGAAAGGGCCUGCUUUUGUGGGGUGCUCGAGUGGCGAACGGGUGAGUAACAAGUGAGUAACCUUGCCUUGACUUUGGGAUAACUUCAGGAAACUGGGGCUAAUACCGGAUAGGAGCUCCUGCUGCAUGGUGGGGGUUGGAAAGUUUCGGCGGUUGGGGAUGGACUCGCGGCUUAUCAGCUUGUUGGGGGGGUAGUGGCUUACCAAGGCUUUGACGGGUAGCCGGCCUGAGAGGGUGACCGGCCACAUUGGGACUGAGAUACGGCCCAGACUCCUACGGGAGGCAGCAGUGGGGAAUAUUGCACAAUGGGCGGAAGCCUGAUGCAGCAACGCCGCGUGCGGGAUGACGGCCUUCGGGUUGUAAACCGCUUUCGCCUGUGACGAAGCGUGAGUGACGGUAAUGGGUAAAGAAGCACCGGCUAACUACGUG